UGGGGAAUUUUGGACAAUGGGGGCAACCCUGAUCCAGCCAUGCCGCGUGCAGGAAGAAGGCCCUAUGGGUCGUAAACUGCUUUUGAACAAGAGAAAACCCCGGUACGUGUACUGGGUUGAUAGUAUUGUUAGAAUAAGCAUCGGCUAACUUCGUGCCAGCAGCCGCGGUAAGACGAAGGAUGCAAGCGUUAUCCGGAUUCAUUGGGUUUAAAGGGUGCGUAGGCGGACUGAUAAGUCAGUGGUGAAAUCUCUCGGCUUAACCGAGAAACUGCCAUUGAUACUGUUAGUCUAGAGUACAGAUGAUGUGGGCGGAAUAUGACAUGUAGUGGUGAAAUACUUAGAUAUGUCAUAGAACACCGAUUGCGAAGGCAGCUCACAAAACUGUAACUGACGCUGAGGCACGAAAGUGCGGGGAUCAAACAGGAUUAGAUACCCCUGUAGUCCCUGAGCGGGCUGGCAAGGCGCAU
This 467-nucleotide ribosomal RNA is filed under the name uncultured bacterium. RNAcentral's name for it is "bacterial SSU rRNA". It matches the Rfam family "Bacterial small subunit ribosomal RNA", at positions 355 to 825 of the family's 1533-position model. The record is from RNAcentral.